GUGUGUGUGUGUGUGUGUGUGUGUGUCUCUCUCACAGCAACAAGGGCAUGGAACAUCUGUACAGCAUGAAGUGUGUGUGUGUGUGUGUGUGUGUGUGUGUGUGUGUGUGUGUGUGUCUCUCUCACAGCAACAAGGGCAUGGAGCAUCUGUACAGCAUGAAGUGCAAGAACAAGGUGCCGCUGUACGACCUGCUGCUGGAGAUGCUGGACGCCCACCGCCUCCACUCCCCAGGGAAGAUGAUCCACCCCCCAGGGAAGAUGAUCCACUCCCCAGGGAAGAUGUUGGACUCCCCAGGGAAGAUUGUCCACCCCCCAGGGAAGAUGAUCCACUCCCCAGGGAAGAUGUUGGACUCCCCAGGGAAGAUGCUCCAGUCCCCAGGGAAGAUGAUCCACUCCCCAGGGAAGAUGUUGGACUCCCCAGGGAAGAUGCUCCACCCCCCAGGGAAGAUGAUCCACUCCCCAGGGAAGAUGUUGGACUCCCCAGGGAAGAUGGUGGACGCCUACCGCCUGCACUCCCCAGGGAAGAUGGUGGACUUCGAGGGCCUCCACUCCCCGGAUCUCUUCGUGGCCACUUCCCCGAACCCAGGAGUUCUGUAGUCCUUUAGUUUCACUCUCUUUCACCCUUUGAUCACUUGAAUGUAUUGUCGUGGAUUCAGUACAAUUUGAAGAAUAAAUCUGCAAAUAAGAA
Long non-coding RNA from Clupea harengus (Atlantic herring), 687 nucleotides. RefSeq lists it as uncharacterized. The transcript has 2 exons. The record is from RefSeq and is a predicted model, not a curated record. NCBI's taxonomy places the organism in Eukaryota, Metazoa, Chordata, Actinopteri, Clupeiformes, Clupeidae.